This 720-nucleotide ribosomal RNA is filed under the name Micropholcomma sp. 'Plectochetos' Victoria. RNAcentral's name for it is "SSU rRNA". It matches the Rfam family "Eukaryotic small subunit ribosomal RNA", at positions 407 to 1130 of the family's 1831-position model. The record is from RNAcentral. Lineage: Eukaryota; Metazoa; Arthropoda; Arachnida; Araneae; Micropholcommatidae.
CUACCACAUCCAAGGAAGGCAGCAGGCGCGCAAAUUACCCACUCCCGGAACGGGGAGGUAGUGACGAAAAAUAACAAUACGGGACUCUUUUGAGACCCCGUAAUUGGAAUGAGUACACUCCAAACCCUUUAACGAGGACCCAUCAGAGGGCAAGUCUGGUGCCAGCCGCCGCGGUAAUUCCAGCUCUGAUAGCGUAUAUUAAAGUUGUUGCGGUUAAAAAGCUCGUAGUUGGAUCUCAGUUCCCGACGGGCGGUCCGCCUACCGGCGGUCACUGCCCGGUCGGAACAACACGGCCGGUUUCCCCCGAUGAUCUUCACCGGUUGUCUCGGGUGACCGGCAAGUUUACUUUGAAAAAAUUAGAGUGCUCAACGCAGGCGCGACGCCUGGAUAAUGGUGCAUGGAAUAAUGGAAUAGGACCUCGGUUCUAUUUUGUUGGUUUUCGGAACACGAGGUAAUGAUUAAGAGGGACAGACGGGGGCAUUCGUAUUGCGACGCUAGAGGUGAAAUUCUUGGACCGUCGCAAGACGAACUACUGCGAAAGCAUUUGCCAAGAAUGUUUCCAUUAAUCAAGAACGAAAGUUAGAGGUUCGAAGGCGAUCAGAUACCGCCCUAGUUCUAACCAUAAACGAUGCCAGCCAGCGAUCCGGCUGCGUUCCUCAAAUGACGCGCCGGGCAGCUUCCGGGAAACCAAAGCCUUUGGGUUCCGGGGGAAGUAUGGUU